Molecule: long non-coding RNA, 375 nt
Organism: Leptidea sinapis
Lineage: Eukaryota; Metazoa; Arthropoda; Insecta; Lepidoptera; Pieridae
Exons: 2
Source: RefSeq, a predicted model, not a curated record
AAACGUCAGAUACACGUCCAAUCAAGUGGAAUCAAUACUUAAAUAGCAUUCAUUACUUAUAUAAAUAUAAAAAUGAAGACUUUAUCAGUUGUAUUUGUGUUAGCUACAUUAGUUUGCUGCACACUAUCGUCACCUAUUGAUAAGGCAGAACCUGAAAGCCCCGUAGAGAUCCUCCUGAGCCCAGUACAGGUUGUGAUCGAUCCAACUCAGACUCUGUUCUGUACAAACUCAUGGUGUCACAAUAUUUGUGUACAACUUGGAACAAGGACCGGCUAUUGUAAUGCUCAAAAUCAAUGCCAGUGCUCCUUUUAAUAUCGUUUUAGUAAAUAACAUAAAUAAAUUAAAAUAAAUAAUUAAAAUAAAUAAUUAUCACUA